CUUGACACUGAACAUUGAGCCUUGAUGUGUAGGAUAGGUGGGAGGCUUUGAAGUGUGGACGCCAGUCUGCAUGGAGCCGACCUUGAAAUACCACCCUUUAAUGUUUGAUGUUCUAACGUGGACCCGUGAUCCGGGUUGCGGACAGUGUCUGGUGGGUAGUUUGACUGGGGCGGUCUCCUCCUAAAGAGUAACGGAGGAGCACGAAGGUUGGCUAAUCCUGGUCGGACAUCAGGAGGUUAGUGCAAUG
This 247-nucleotide ribosomal RNA is filed under the name Escherichia coli. RNAcentral's name for it is "partial 23S ribosomal RNA". It matches the Rfam family "Bacterial large subunit ribosomal RNA", at positions 2110 to 2356 of the family's 2925-position model. The record is from RNAcentral. Lineage: Bacteria; Pseudomonadati; Pseudomonadota; Gammaproteobacteria; Enterobacterales; Enterobacteriaceae.